GUCUGGUUGAUUCCGAUAACGAACGAGACUCUCCCUGCUAACUAGUCGGUUGGAUCUUGCUCGGUGAGUUCGUGCACCGGUGGUGCUCGACGGCUCGGUAAGUUUCGGGUGUGCGUUGUGUGUGGUGCAGUUAACGCUGUGUCGCGCCCGUGCGCUUGGAGCCCCGGUCGUUGGAGGCCUCGGAUCGUACACUCCAAGUCCGCCGCUUAUGAUAUAAUUCUUCUUAGAGGGAUUCACGGCUCUGAAGCCGUCAGAGACUGAGAGCAAUAACAGGUCUGUGAUGCCCUUAGAUGCUCUGGGCCGCACGCGCGCUACAAUGCCGGGCACAGCAGGUUCUUUUCCUGCUCCGAGAGGAGCGGGCAACCCUCUGAAAGCCCUUGAUUACACUCGUUUUAAGUAACGAAUGGCGUGCUUGGGCCUGGGGCUUGCAAUUAUUCCCCACAAACGAGGAAUGCCUAGUAGCGGCGAGUCACUGAGCUCGCUGUGACUCAGUCCCUGCCCUUUGUACACACCGCCCGUCGCUACUACCGAUUGGGUGUACCAGUGAGAGCCUUGGGACUGGCGGCCGUUGCCUUCGGGCAAGCGGGAUUCGACGGAAAGAGGUCCGAACUGGGUGCACUUUAGAGGAAGUAAAAGUCGUAA
Molecule: ribosomal RNA, 642 nt
Filed under: Crassicorophium bonellii
Lineage: Eukaryota; Metazoa; Arthropoda; Malacostraca; Amphipoda; Corophiidae
Description: SSU rRNA
Rfam family: Eukaryotic small subunit ribosomal RNA
Source: RNAcentral